Molecule: long non-coding RNA, 15157 nt
Filed under: Vigna radiata
Lineage: Eukaryota; Viridiplantae; Streptophyta; Magnoliopsida; Fabales; Fabaceae
Description: long non-coding RNA (VRAD_LNC017787)
Source: RNAcentral
UCAUUCNAUAACUGNUGUUUGUCUUUAUUGAUACGGGGACGUACAGUAAUGUCAUGAACUGGUGAGUAAUUCCUUCAUUUUGCAAUACCACCUAGGGAUAGGGGUAGGAUGAUCAAUUGCUUUUAACUUUCGUUCUAUAAUGCUGUAUUAAUUGUUAGGGGAGGCUAGGGAUAGCAAGCUAGUAAUUAGUAUUAGGCUCUUUUCGCCGAGGGAUCGGGUUAAGGGUAGCCUAAGAAAGUUGCAUGACAAUUAAUUAAUCAAACUAAUAAAUCAAGAGGAGUAAAUAAGAGAGAGCGGAUUAAAUGAAAUUGUAAACCCCCAACAACUCCAUUCAUCCAUUCACUUGAUACGAUUUGGUAUGCUUGCCAAUCCGUUAACACUCAGCGGUCAGUUUUGCCGCUGAGCGGUUUCCCUCUAAUCGCUUUGAGCGCUCAGCGGACCAUUUUGGCGCUCAACGGCUUGCUUGACCCUUCUUUUCAUCAUUUCUCUCCUUCUUUCAUGGAUCUAAGUCCACCUUACUUCACUUCCAUCUUUAGUUCAUCUAAAAACCCUGCAAAACAAGCAUAAUAUCGCUAAAACCAACGUUUGAGUCUCAAGAGACUCAACUAAGUGUUUUACUUUAUUUAAAGCUCAUUCUAAGCCACAAAGGGUGUGUUUUACUAUCAAAUUUAAGUAUGAAAAUAACGGUUUUAGACCGUUAUCACAACCACAAACUUAGAGCUUUGCUUGUCCUCAAGCAAACAAGACAAAACUUGGCUUUCCAGUUUUUCAUCAAAUAAUUCCCACCUUCAAAACUCCUUUUUCUCAUGACAAGUUAUUAUACAAUUCAGAUUUUAGUGGAAUCCUACAAAGAUGCAUGCAUGCUUUCAAUCCAAAUUAGUUCACAUAAUCAAUCUUUUUCCAACAGAUGUUUUGUUCAUGAAUGAUCAAUCAACUAAACAUAGAUGUAAAAAUGGAUUUAAAAAUUCUCACCAAGCAAGUGUUUCACUCAAUCACUCAAGUGUUUAAGGAGGUCACUCUACUCUCUAAUGUUCACAUGUCACAUAAAACAAUAUUGUCAUUCAUCUAAANCAAUCAANAUNUUUCACANGCAUAUGUCAUCACAAGGACUUUUUCCAAGGCUUGUAUUGUGGCUGGGCUAACAAGAAAAUUGGUUUUUCUCUAAUACAAAAUCCUUGAGUUAAGAGAGAUUAAAUCAUCAUUCAAAGUUCAAGCACACUCUCUUUUUAACCAAUCUCACUCAUUCCCAACUUUUCCCUUUUUCAUUUUACAUUGAGCUCUUUUUACAUGCAUAAACUCUUUUCUUCUUUUCUUUUCUUUUCCCAUGCCUUUUUCUUUUUCAUCUUUUAAACUUAAUGCUUUUCUUUUUCUUUUGCUUUUCACUUUCCCCAUUCAACCCCAAACUUGAACCUUUUUAACACAUAUAAUUAUUCUCAACCCUAACUCAAGGUAAAUCAGUUCAAACAAGGGUUUUCAUACUGUUUAAGGUCAAGGUUCAAAAAGGGUAUAUCAUUUAAAAUUCUUUGGGUGAACAUUUGGCUAAGUAAGGGCUUUCCAAGCAUGGCCUUGAUCAUAUGACACGCACAUGCAAAUCAAUCAAUUAUAAAGAUUAAGUCAAUAUCAUCCAUUAUUCCCUGUAAACAGUGCACCCAAUAAUAAAACUCUGAAGCUCAAUACCUCACAUAAUCAGGCUUUCUCACUUCUCACAUGAAUCCUGCUUAGCAUCAAAAUCACAGUCAUGAAUCACUUACUCAUCUGUUCACAUAGCUAGUGAACCAUCAAUCUGGAUAUCAACAUUCACACAUUCUCAAUCAUCAUCCACAACCAAUCAUCAAUAGUAAACAACUGAUCAUGCAAUAAAUUGGAACCAUUAUCUGAAUAAGUGUACAAGCCAAGCAUAGACUCAAACAUAAAUUUAACCUAUACUACUAAUUCAAAGUACAAAGAAAAAGAAAAAGAAAAAUCCUUGUCCAAAUGCUGGCAUCCAUCAAUAGAUGCCAUCAGCGCAGAUCCUCAUCUGAUUCAUCAUCCUCCUCCUCUUGGGCAUCCUCAAAAUCUUCAUCAUCCUCCUGGUCAUCAUCCUGUCCUCCUGAAGUUCCAGUAGCUCCAGACCCACUACCAUGUGCCUGUCCUCGAGGCCAAGCCAUCACACUAUGAAACUCAUCCAUAGUCCACCUGUGCACUGGUGGCUAGUCAUAAAGUCCUAUGAUCAUCUCGACAGUGGCCUCCUGCCCUCUACAAAGGGACUUCAUCCUCGCCUCCAUCAUUGACAUGUACAUGUCUCUCAUCUGGAAAGGCUCUGGCUGCUGUGCUGGUGCAUCUGCAGGCUCAUCCACCUGCUGUGCUGCUGUCCUCCUAGGACGUGUCCUAGGGAUUGCUCCAGCUAGCUCGUCACCUCUACAAUACUGAUGAAAAUAGGAGCCAUUAAUAGCACUCCUCGGCCUCUCAAAAGGUGGAACAGAAGUGUCCACUCCUGCCUCCUGGCACAAAUAGGUAAUCAGGGACGGGUGUCCCAGUGGCAUCCUGUUGCUCACUAUGUUGGCACAACUCAUAAUCUCACUGGUAAUGAUCUUACCCACAUGCACGUCCAUCUGCCUCAACAUACAGUAGAUGACCAAGAUCCGAGGCAAAGUGAUAUCGGAAACAUGAGAGCAUGACUGGAUGUUAGCAUGAGUAAAUGCCAUCUAGUAUUUAGCUAGGGGAGUUAAGUCUGCCCUCAGGAUGUUCACCGGUGCUCCGUUCGGGUUUCUCUGAAAGUGCCUCCCAGGGAUACACAUCACUCGCUCAAUGUCCUCGUAAUCCUUGGCCUCCCCCAGUAUAGCAGCAUACCUACACUACUCUCCUGACCACUCAGUCCCCAAAAAAGCGUUGAUGGUGUCAGGAUCAUAGCUGAUCAAGUGUCCACGUACAUAGCUCAUGUACCUCCCUACGGACACUCUUCCUCUUGGCAAGGCAUUAACAUAAAAUUCCUUUUCCAACUCAAUACUAGAUGGUGCUGGAUAAGUUGUCAAUCUCUCCCAACCUCGCCUCUCAAUCUCCAGACCAAACUCUGGAGCCAAGUCAAGAAUGUACAUGGCUUUCCUCUCCAUCAGCAGUCGCCUUUCCUGGACUAUAGCAAAGUGUUCCUCAUGCUUCCUUGAAAGGAACCUUGAAUAAUAGAAUCUUCUAGGUCUAUCUGGUUCCUUCCUCUUAUUGCCCAUUGUUUUAACUCUCUUUGAAGUAGACAUUCCUGUAUAAAUCAAUUUCAUCCAACAAAAAUUCGCAGAAACAUCAUUAGAGGUUAGUGCAUCAUCAAAUCUUAUAAUUCUCUGAGGAAAAACAGGGCUCCUCAACACACAAGCAUAAAAAAUUUCAACAUUUAGGAAAAACAGCUACAGACCGCCCAACGUCAAAGGAAACCGCCCAGGUGGUUUGCCUCAAAUCGCGCCACCGCCUAGCGCCAAAACAUACCGCUCAGCGGUGGCGGCUAGGGUUUUUCAAAAUCCUUGCCUAUUUGAUCCUAAUCUCCACUCUUUUGGUAAAAUCAUCAAUCCAGACCAAAAUCAUGCAAUUCAAUCGAUUCAAACAGUUCCUAUUCUAUCAAUUGAUGCAUAGAAAUCAAAAGCCAUAAUUUAUCAUGUUCCUAAGCAUGUUUUUCAACAAAUCCCAACAUAGAAACCAUGAAUAAUGAAUUUGCAUACUUACUUGAGUGGAGAUUGUGAAUGCUUGCAAAAAAUUUGCUUAAUUGAUGAUGUAUGUCCUCUCCAAUGCAAGUCCCUCAACCAAAAACCCCAAACUUUGACAAAGUAAUGGUGAAAAAUUGAAAUUUUGGUGAGUAGGUGAAUGAGAAAGUGAGGAAAUCUCUCUAAAAUGCUCUUGAAGGUGAAAGAAGGGUGCUAGGGCUUAGGGAGACCGCUCAGGCGAAAUGCAAAGAAGAGUUUCAAAAUGAAAAAUGUGAAAAUCGCUCAGCUUUUAAGAAAAGCCAAACCCAUCAGCGCCGCAACCGCUCAACGGUCUGCGCCUGAUUUCUCUUCUUCCUCUUUUUGCUUUCUUUUGAGUUGUCUUUCCUUUUAGCACUUAAUUUCAACCUUCAAUUUUCAAAUAUAUACCUUUCCCCUCUCAGAUGCAAUCAUUAAUAUCUAACACAGGAUUAAAAAAAAACAAUCAAUUGGAUUGCCUUCCAGGUAGCGCUUGUUUAACGUCACAAGCCUGACUGAUGAGUCGAUAUUUUAUUGAUUUCACUUAGUUUAUUGUGCUAAACUUAAUCAGGGAAUUGUGCUUAAUUGUCCGGUAUUUUCCCGUGUCUGCUAAUUGUGCUUAAUUUGACCGGAAAUUCGAAUUUUAAUUAAUUUGAAUUUUCUGAGCUAAUUAUUUGCAUUUUUAAUUACAGGGAAAAUUUUGGAAACACAAUUUGGAACAUUUGGAGGACACGAAAUAAAUUCAAGACUCUCAAAUUAGACAUUUUAAAUUUUAUUGUAUUGUAAUUUUAAUUGUUUAAACUUUUUGGACAAACCUUUGCACAUUGGGCCAUUGUGAAAAUAUUAUGAGGGGCCCAAAAUUGUAGGACACUUGCCCUAGGGUUUCCUUUUAUUUUUAGGGUGGACCCCACCCCAAUUUUAGGACACAUGGCCACUUAAAAAUUUGACCUAGCCGUCAUACUUGGGGACAACAUUAUUCUCGGCAUUUUUUUGGAGAUUAAAAGAGGUCACAUAAAAAAGAUGGUGCAAUAACGUUUUUAAAGUGGAGGGGCCGUAACGUUUUUGGAGGACUCUCGGCUAGAAUGGAUUCACUUUGGUUUGACAAUGGCUAGAUUGAAAAGCACACCUUAUUAUUCAAAAGCAUUUUUCGUUUUCAAUUUCAAAGCACUUUUUACAUUGAAAUUUUCUAAUGCAUCUAGUGUCCAGCCACACACCCAUUUAGCUUUUGGUGUUGAACGUUGUUAGAGUAGCGUGCGGUGGCUCACAUCUUGGAGAGGGAAUUACUUUGUUCAUUCAGAUCUGUUGGUGCUUCUAAAGUUCAUGUUUUUUAUUUAUUUCUUUCAUUUUCUACAAUUUCGUUUUAUUAUGUAUUCUGUAAUGAAUUUGGUUUUCCACUUUUAUGUUUAAGGUUCCUUGUGCUCAUGUAAUUCCAGUUUUGUUUUAAAGUUCAUUUUAUAAUUCUUUGCUUGAAUUUAUCUUAGCUUUUAUAAAAGAAAAAAAAAUCUUACGUGAUUCAUUUUGCUGGAGCUUGAAUUUACUUUUUUUUUCUUUAAAAAAGAAUACGCUUAUCUUCAUUUAGCAAUUAGUGCACGGUGAUUCAGUCUUGCUUUAUUAGUAGAAAAUGCUAGCUAAUUUGACAUUUUAAGUUUCACGUUGCUGGCAUUGCUUAUCAAAUUCAUUUAUUUCUUUUCUUUUAGAAAAUUGUUGCACGGCAUUUUCAGCAUUGCUUCUUAGUAUAGCUUCAUUAUACAUUUAAUAUUUUAAUUUAAGUGUUGCAUUUUAAUAGCUUUAAUUAUGUUUGGAUAUUCGUUUGUUGUGUUAGGUUUAACAUUUUCUUUUCAUUUAAUGUCGUCUAGCAUUUCUGGUAGUGAUAAUUUAACUGUCAUGUUAGCUUAGGAUAGUCGGGUUGGUCAUUUAUAAAAUUACUUUGUUUCUUUGAGAUUUCUCGGACUGCUCUUGUGUUUAUUCUACUCUGAUUUGGUUCAAUAUUUAAUCUGUUGUGUGCCUGCGAUUAGUUAUACGCUUAGUUGCUUAGUCAGUGUCAAAUCUUCGCUUAAUUGAUUAGACUGCAUGAUGGAUGACUGAUUAAAUUUGUGCAUUGUAUUCGCUUAGUCUGCAAUUUUGAAGCCCGAAUUAGCCUUCACUUAGUUGGGCGACUCUUGUCGGAUUUGGAUUAGAGUAGUGUGUACUUGUCGUUGAUUUGUGAUAGGAAGCAUUGUAAUUAAGUUAAUGACCAACCGUUUCCAUUCUGUCUGUGAAACCGUUUUCAUUUCUGCUUUCACAUUUCUGUUUGCAUCCGUGUUUUGAUUUCGUUCAUCCGCAUUCACAAAAACUUUCACAAAACCCCCCACACUGCAUGUUAGACCUGAUUCUUGAACCGCGAUUUGGUCCUUGAGAGACGACCUAGGAGUCACUUCCUAGUUUAUACUGCAUUUUUUUAUGCAAUUAAAUUUGUCUGGGCUGCAACAACUAUCACUGACCCAAACCUGUUUAGCACUCAUCAAUAAGUGCUUCUCCUUCCAACACCCUUCAGUAGGUGUACUUACCUUGUAUCCUUCAGUAGAUACAUAAAAGAUUUAGCAUCCCUCAGUAGAUGCUACCCAAAAGUGUUCAAAAAUUCAAUAAAGUAAAUGUACAAAAUCAAAUACCCUAAAACUACAAAUGUUUAUAGAAAGUGGGAUUUAGAUAAAAUGAAGUCAUUUCAUCCCGGUUGGGAUCUUCAUCAACCCAACUCAUCAGUUGCUUUCUAUCCACUUUCUUUAUGGCCUUUGUGAAUGGUUUCUAGAUGUCAAUCUUGUCAUCUUCUCGAUUCUUAAUAACAAGCCACUUCUUAUCCUUGAAUCUCACUUGUGUUUCUAUUGGAAGUGAUGUAUAUUCAGUGUGGAUAGUACCUCCUUUUUCAACCUCCUCUUCUUCGAGUACCUGCAACACAUUACAACUAUUAGAUUUGGUACCUGUUAUGUUGUUUUGUAGUGCAGCUUCUCUUCUUGACUUCUUAUGCAUGACCCUCCUUUUCAUUCUAGUAUUUUUCUCUUUAAAGCCAAUACAAAAGAGUAUAUUCUCUUUGUCCCUCAUCAUGAUCUUUGCAUCAUGGACGCUAAUAGACAUCUUGGAUGUGGCCAUGAAAGGUAUUCCAAGAAUUAUUAGAAUUCUUUCCGCAUCUUCCAUACUCAUGAUGAUAAAAUCAGCUAAGAAUUCUAAUUGCUCUACUCGAACAACCACAUUUUCCACCAUACCAAAUGGUGUUUUAACUGAACCAUCCGCCAUUGUCACUGUGAGAUUAGAUGGCUUUAACGUUAGCCCUCCAAUUUUCUUAAACAAACGCAUGGGCAUGAUGUUAAUGCUAGAUCGAGAAUCUAUCAUUGCUUCUCCUAUAUCAACCUCAUUAAUCUUACAUGUCAAAUUCAAGCAACCUGGAUCUUUUAAUUUAAGCAGAUAAUUCCUUGGAGGUUGAAUCUCAAAUUCCUGCUGAUGGGUGUCGCAGCCCAUACAAAUUUGAUUGCAUAAAGAAAUGCAGUAUAGCUAGGGAAUGACCCCUAGGUCGUCUCCCAAAGACCAAUUUUGCGGUUCAAGAAUCGAGUCUAACACGAAAAGGGGGGGGGUUUGUGAAAAGGGUUUUGCAAAAAUUAACUAACUCAAUAUGAAGACACAGAUGCAAACAAACUAAUUUAAGCUAGCAUGGUAAUUAAACUAACACUAUUAAAAACCUUAGACAACACUCAAACAAAAUAAAAUAAAAUACUAGACCCCAACAAGACAACAAACAACUACCUAACACAGUUAAAUUAAAUUAAAUGCAAAACUAAAUUAAAGAAAAAAAAAACAACUAACUUACAAUUCAAACUAAUUUAAAGCUAAAGAAGUAAAAAACAUAUUUUUUUUAUCAAUUCAAAUAACACAUGCAUCUACUAAAGAAAAUCAAAUUGAAAAUGGCCUAAAAGUUACCCUCUGGCCGUGACCUUUCUUGCAUCAAAACCUAUUCAUUUUCUUAAAUUGUAAUUCCCAAAUAUUAAAGUUGGAAUCUAGCCGUGACACUCUUCCAAUUGGCAAGUUGAGCACCUUCUCCAAAAUCAAUUAACCAUGAUGCUAAUUCUAAUUGAGAGCCACAGUAGCUGCAACUUUCUUUCCAAAUGAAACCAAUUCUUCCUUCACGUGGCAGCAACAUCAGCGUGCAUCUUCAAGGAUGUGUUACCUUCAAACAAGGUCAACAACAUGUGCAACAAUGUGAUGGAACCAACAUAGUGGUAAACACACUCCACGCUGCAGCUAGCUACCAAGCCACCACUUUCUAAAAGAAAGUUUGUCACGUGAAAUCAAUUGCUUCAUUCUCCAAGAAUUAAAACAAGUGAAUGCCUACUGCUACCAAAUGUUGGAAGGUCUCAUCACCAUAUAAUCCCACCUAAUUCACCUAGUCACCCUUUCAAUUUCAAACCGGGCCCUACCGUUUCAAUCAACAAAGUUUAGAUGAAAAGCUUGUAAAUUCUGAAGGAAAAUAAGCGUCACCUCACUACACCAUUUUUUAUUCAACGAAGAUAGAAGAAAACAUUGCCAUCACAUCACUAGAAGAAAUAAAAGUGCUCUUAAAUAAACCUCAAAAACCGGACGUUGCUCCCUUUCUAAUAAUCAUUUUCAACAAUUUUCUUAAAAGCAAAAUGAAGAAGCUAGGAUGUAGUGCUGUCACCGUCAAACACCAUUAAAUUGAGAUGUCACUCCAUGUGUACUUGCAUUCCAUUAAUCAACGUAAAAGCAAAUGGGGAAGAAAAAAAUGAUGGCUUCCAACAGCAUGGAAGAAAAACCGUGACCUCCUUUCUCAUCUUCCAAAAACCGUUUUAGACUUCACAAGUGUUCAAAAGCUAACAUUCCAAAAUGCAAGUGACAACAUUUCAAAGAAAAGAAAGAAGCAAAAAUGUGCUCUUCAUUUAACAUGAAAGAAGAAAAACCCCGAGAACCACAUUCCACUCUUGAAAUCAACGUAAAACCAGAGUGCAAAAUCCCAUGACAGCAAAGUGACGGCUCUCCCCCUAAUAUUCCUAGGUCUGAGAAUGUUUUUAAGUGGGUGGGGUCUACCUAAUAUAAAACCCUAGAACCAUGUCAUCUCCAUUUACAAUUGGGCCUAGUCUAUCAUUACCAAAAAUUGGCCUAAAAAUACAAAACUUAGUUUAAAAAGCCUAAUCUACUAAAUUAAAAUUUGACUAAUCCUAAAGUGUCCUUGUGGAGAGUCUUGAAUGAAUUGAUGUCCUCUCUAGUGUCCAAAAUUGUAUCUCCAAAAUUUUCCUGUAAUUAAUAAUGGAAAUAAUUAGCUCAGAAUAUUCAAAUUAGUUAAAAUUAUAAUUUCCAGUCAAAUUAAGCACUAUUAUAAAAAACGGGAAAAUACCGGACAUUUAAGAAUAAUUCCCUGAUUAAUUCUAGCACAAUAAACUAAGUGAUAUCAAUAAAAUAUCGACUCAUCACCUGCUCAUCAUCAUCUUCAUCUAGAUCUACCAUGUCUCCUGUAAGAUCCGUAUAAAUAAAAGGAUUUUUAUUUACCUUUAGUAUUUUAUUUUAUGGUAUUACAUAAUAAAUUGUGAUGUGAAUAAGGGUUGAGAAAUAUUUAAGGAAGGGAAGAAAAUUAAAUUAAUAUUGGUUUUGUAUUAAUUUUCGAAAAAGGGUUGAAAGAGUAUUUUAAUUAUAUUUGUUUGCGCUAUCUAAUUAGCAAAUGGAGCUUUGACUAGUGGUUGUUGUGUGUGCAUUGGAUGGGGUGUGUGUUUGGUUUUAUGUUCAAGCCUUGUUAAGACCAAAAAGACUCCUAGCUCUUUUAUUUUUACACCUUGGUGGCGUGGGGCCCACAAUAAGAUGAGAAUGAGGAAGUGAACCCCUUUGGCAUGUGGCUGUAAACGUGAAUGGCUUUCAAAGCCUUCCUGCUUUGGGUUUUAUGCACAUUUAUGAUGAAAGAGAAAUGUAUUUGGAUUGUUUUUUUUAUUGGUUGCCUUUUUGCAUGGCUUGGAAUUUUCUUGGUUUGCUAAGUUUAGAAAGGCAUUUAGUUUUUGCUUUUGGUACAUAGUUAGCAUGAGAGAGAAGUUGGUGGGAUUAUUUUAUUUGGUUAUAUUAUAUAUUUGGAUGUGUGCACGUGAAUGGGUAGAUAAAUGGUUUUCUUUUUGUGUUAUGGUUUUGCAUGGUUACACGUUUUCAUUCUUUGUUUUUUUCUCUUAUCAUGUUUUCGGAAAAGAAUAUAAAUGGAGGGGCUUCAUUGUAUGCAUGGAAUAGUAAACGUUAGGAAUUAAAAGUAGCCUUAGCCAUGUGAGGGUGCUUAGGAAAGUGUAUAUUCUUUUCAUUUUCCUAGGUUUAAAUUCACAACGUUUGGGGUAUCUAUAUUAUCGUUAAAGACCCUCAAUUAUGCCCAUUAAAGUGUGGUUAUUUCUAGAGUUGAUAGAGAGUUAAGGAAGGGUAACCCAAGGGUUAGUUCUAGCAAAGGAAUUUCCAGGAAAAAUAAGUGGAUGAGGUAAGUUUGGGUAGAUGAUAGGGUUAAUAAAUAUUUAAGUUGUAAUAUGGAGGCAGAAGAAGGGGGACACCAAAAAGAAACCAUGGAAGGAAAUUGAAUGAAACCCUCUGUUUUCCACUGUGUGCAUCUGUGAGAGAGUGAUUAGCCACCAUUUUGUCUUGGACUCUAGGACUGUGAGUUGGAGAGGAACCAAGAGCUGUGAAGUGACGUUUGGUGCAACAAGAGGAGUGAAGUCAUUUUCAGUCAUCGCUUGGGAACCUUAGAAGUCUUGAAACUUUUGGAAAUUUGAGGUAAGGGGUGUAACUUUGGAUUAUAAAAUGGUAUAUGAUGGGUGGGUGUUAUUGUUAAAUAUUAAUGCUUAUAUGUUCCUUGAACACUUGUGUUUCUAUAUGUGUUUGGUGGGUGUUAUUAUUUACCUUGCAUGUUUCAAAAAUUUGGGGUUGUUGUAAAUAGAUACAUUGUUUGGUUUCAUUUUGGAUGUUGAGAAUAUAUGGUUAUUCACUUUCUUAUGAUAAAAACAUUGUCUGAAAUGACUUAUUUUCCCUCGUUUAAUUUGUAAAUGGUAAACUUGGGGCACAUUCAUACACUCCCUAAUAAAGAGUGUGGUGGUGUGAGGUUUGAGAGUUCCUUUUCCUUGUAUGGAAGAGAAGGGUGAGAGAGUUGGAACCAAGAAAAAAAUGAUAACAGUGAUACCUUAGGUUUGGUUGGAAUAAAAAGAGAGAGUUGGGUUUUGGGGUCUCACGUAAGAUGGGUACUGGUGCAUGGGGUUGCAUGAGAAAAAUGGGGUUUGGGUUGUUGUAGUGAAAAGAGAUUAGAAGAAAAUAGGGGUAGAAGAUUGACAUAAGUGAGGGUGAGAAAAGUGAGAGUUAAAGUGGGCAUUGAAAAGUCAAAGGGAAGUAAGGAGUGAAUUUAGAAGUGUGUAUGAGGAAGGUGCAUGCAUGGGAAUAUAUGUAAAUUGUAGUGAGUGAAGAGUAUAGGUNNNNNNNNNNNNNNNNNNNNNNNNNNNNNNNNNNNNNNNNNNNNNNNNNNNNNNNNNNNNNNNNNNNNNNNNNNNNNNNNNNNNNNNNNNNNNNNNNNNNNNNNNNNNNNNNNNNNNNNNNNNNNNNNNNNNNNNNNNNNNNNNNNNNNNNNNNNNNNNNNNNNNNNNNNNNNNNNNNNNNNNNNNNNNNNNNNNNNNNNNNNNNNNNNNNNNNNNNNNNNNNNNNNNNNNNNNNNNNNNNNNNNNNNNNNNNNNNNNNNNNNNNNNNNNNNNNNNNNNNNNNNNNNNNNNNNNNNNNNNNNNNNNNNNNNNNNNNNNNNNNNNNNNNNNNNNNNNNNNNNNNNNNNNNNNNNNNNNNNNNNNNNNNNNNNNNNNNNNNNNNNNNNNNNNNNNNNNNNNNNNNNNNNNNNNNNNNNNNNNNNNNNNNNNNNNNNNNNNNNNNNNNNNNNNNNNNNNNNNNNNNNNNNNNNNNNNNNNNNNNNNNNNNNNNNNNNNNNNNNNNNNNNNNNNNNNNNNNNNNNNNNNNNNNNNNNNNNNNNNNNNNNNNNNNNNNNNNNNNNNNNNNNNNNNNNNNNNNNNNNNNNNNNNNNNNNNNNNNNNNNNNNNNNNNNNNNNNNNNNNNNNNAUAAUAAUUAAAUUAUGUUAUUUAAUUAUUUGUGUUUUUUUUUUAUUAAUCGUUGGUAAAUCAUUUUGGUUGGCUUUGUAUAUGAUGGUGAUUUGUGUAUGGUUGUGAUGGUGAAGUUGUGAGAGCAAGUGUCCUGUCAUUUUCUUAGAAUAUUUGUCGAACCGAUGAUGGUGUUCAUAUUGCGAUACGAUAAUGUGUCCAGUUCUCUGGAGGCUGAGAUUCGAGUGUCCCCCUAUCCUCGUGCGCGAGGACUAGAGAGGGUUGGAUGUCUCGCCCAAUGACUUCGGCUCGUGUGAGUAUAGUGCUCGGUAGGUGUGCCUAACCGAAGUUUUUACUCGUAAUUCCUUGAGGAGUCGGGGAGAUAGGCCUGAAGUUGCGAUGGAAGGCCGCUCAAAUCGUCCUGUUUUGCGAAACAGGUUUGGUACGACAAAAUUCAAGGAAACAACAAAAGCUUGUGAGAAUGAUCUGAAUUAUUGUUUCAAUACCGUGAAGUAUUGUAAUGUUAUGACUAGAAUAAUAUAUGUUAUGAUGUUUUGACAUUGAAAUUAUAUGGUAUGUUAUGUUCUUAGUUACUCACCCCUUCCUUUUGUGGUUGUGGUUCCACCUGCAAUGAUCGUACUUGUACGGGAGUAGAUGAUGUUGCAGAUAAGGCAGAGAUGGAGUAGUACGACGAGACUUUUUGGGAAUAGUUAUGGGAAUACUUUCAUGUUUUUGAAGUUAUUUUUAUGUUUUUGAACAAUGGAUUUGAUAUUUGUAAGGUUUGAACUUUUCAGUAGUUUAUACUCUUUUUGACAGUUGUCCAAUUUGCAUUUCUAGUGACCUAACAGUAGCUUGAUCACUGGUGCGAUUUGAAUCAUAGACUUUUAUGAAUUCGUCAAAUCUUUUACUCAUAUUUUGGACAACCUCUGUCAAAUGUGCAACCUGUUGCCACAUAUUUAAAGGUUGUUGGUGCCUGAAGCCUCCUUGUUGCCCUGAUGGGUUGUUCUGUUGUUGACCAAUACUUGGAUGAUUCUUCCAACCUUGGCUAGGAUUGCCUUGAUUGAAAUUCCCUUGUCUAAAUUGGUAUUGGUUCCCCAUAUAGUUAGCUUCCUUUUGCAUCUCCUCAGGUAUAGCACAUUGACCAUUAAUAUGGUCUCCUCCACAAAGAUCACAUAAUUGCUGUGCUUGAGAGACAUUACGAAUCUCCUAUGGAAGUUGUGAAAGGAUCUUUGUCAAUGUAUCUAGCUUUUGGGUCAAAAGAUGAUUUUGAGCUAGCAUUGCAUCAUUCACAGGUAAGUGCAAGACUCCUCUUUAUUUUGUUGGUGUGCCCCUUUCACUAUAUGCUUCUUGACCAUUGGAUGCCAUUCUCUCUAUUAAGUCAUAGGCUUCAUCCUCAGUUUUCUGUUUGAUAUCACCUCCAGCUGAGGUGUCCAAUAUCAUCUUAGACUGCAUAUUCAGUCCACCAAGGUAGGCUAGAACAAUGGUUGUCUUGUCAAAUCCGUGAAUUGGUGUUUUCUUGAGUAGUCCUUUGAAUCGCUCCCAUGCUUGACUUAGAGAUUCUUCCAUGCCUUGUUUAAAUGAUGAGAUCUCCAGCUUUCCUUGAGUAACUUUAGACUGUGGAAAAUAUUUGUUCACAAAUGUUCUAGCCACAGCUUCCCAAGUUGUAAAUGUUCCUUCAGGAAAGGAAUUGACCCACGUCUUAGCAUUGCCUUCCAAUGAGAAAGGAAACAAGCUAAGCCUUACUCUUUCAUCUGAUACACCUGUCAUCUUCACUGUGUUGCAUAUUUCACUAAAUGUUGUCAAAUGGUCAUAAGGAUUCUCAUUUGACAGACCAUGAAACUGUUUGCUCUGCACCAGGUGUAUAAGUGCUGGAUUCAUCACCAUGUUGGUUGUUUGAUCCGUAGGCACGACUAUGCUGCUAAAAUGAAAAGGGCCAACUGUAUCUGAUUGGUCUGCAAGGGUGCGUCUUGGAGGAGUUCUUUCAUCCAUCUCCUCUGUUCUUCUCUCUGUUGAAGGUGAUAGUAAUCUGUCAGGUGAGGGAAACAAAUCCGUAGAUGGGCAUCUGACUCUCCUUCUCCCUCUUGUUUCGCUUAAGCCUUCAAGAAGAAGGCGUCUCCUUCUCCCUCUCGUCUCCUGUUGCAUGCACAAGAAACACAAACCCUAGUAGCACUUUCUUUAUAUUUUAUAAAAAAACUAAAAAAAAAUAAAAAGAUAAAAAAAUAAAAAGAUAAAAAGAUAUAUACAAUCAAGUCAAACUUAAUCAGUUUACACUACUAGAUAAGUUAAACCACGAGUCCUGAUGAAGGUUGAAAAACAGUUAUUAUCAUAUGUCAUUUUAGACCAAAUUACGCCCUUUACUACUUGGAAUGAGCUUAGANUNAAGCAAAACUCAAUAAAUGAGUCUGUAGAGAGUCAAAAACUGUUUUUAGCGAUAUUAUGCUUGUUUUGACUUGUUUUGAGCAUUUCUGAGAAAAUAAAGAAUGGAGUUGAAGAUAAAGGUCGUAGACUCAAGAAAAGAGAAGAAAAUUGAAGAUUUGAAGAGUCGACGCACCGCCCGGCAGAAACUUACACCUCCGGGCGGUCUAGGACGAGGAGUAGGCACUAACGUUGGCGCUGGGCGGUUUCGAGGGAAACCGCCGGGCGGUUUGGAGGUUGAUGGGAAACUGCCGGGCGGCACACUUGAACCGCCGGGCGGUGGUCCGCUGGGCUUGGGCCUGUUUUCUGUUGCGCUCCUCACCUAUAAAUACCCCUAUUUCGAGUUCAGAGUUAUUCUUUUGAUAGGGGAGAACGGCCAGACCUAAUUUUUCUCUCUGGAGAGGAUAUCUUGGAUGCUUAGGCUCCUUUUCAUCUUUUCUAGGGUUUGGUUUUCCAUUCUUCUUCCAUUUUUCAUCUAGUUUCACCAUGUCUAUGGUGAACUAAAUCCUAUUGUUGUUGAGGGAAACAAUGUAAUCUUUUGAUACUCUCUUUUAUUGAAACUCUUGAUUAUUUAUAUGGUUUCCAUAUGUUUUGAUUGUUUAAUUGUUGGGUUCUCAUCUGUGCUUAAGGCCUUUAUCGUUUAACUCAUUCGAUAAUUGAUGUUUGUCUUUAUUGAUACGGGGAUAUACAGCAAUGUCAUGAACUGGUGAGUAAUUCCUUUAUUUUGCAAUACCACCUAGGGAUAGGGGUAGGACGAUCAAUUGCUUUUAACUUCUGCUCUUUAAGGCUGUAUUAAUUGCUAGGGGAGGCUAGGGAUAGCAAGCCAGUAAUUAGUAUUAGGCUCUUUUCCUCGAGGGAUCGGGUUAAGGGUAGGCUAAGAAUGUUGCAUGACAAUUAAUUAAUCAAACUAAUAAUUCAAGAGGAGUAAAUAAGAGAGUGUAGAUAAGAUGAAAUUGUAAACCCCCAACAACUCCAUUCAUCCAUUGUUUUCCUUUUGUCAAUUG